Non-coding RNA from Dermacentor albipictus, 483 nucleotides. NCBI's taxonomy places the organism in Eukaryota, Metazoa, Arthropoda, Arachnida, Ixodida, Ixodidae. The record is from RefSeq and is a predicted model, not a curated record.
GUGCGUCGCCACGGACUGUGUGCGACGCAUUUGCAGCCAUGUCUCAUUGUAAGACAGGUUGAUUUGAUUUGAGGACACACCGCUUUCUCCCUGCAUAAUCGCAGCAGGUGAUGACAUCUGGAUGCCUGAAGAGUACCUAUUGCUUGUUGAUGGCCAUGUUGUGGCAGCAGCAAAGAUGUUCAAGCAAGCAUUCCGCAUGCUGUUUGCAGCUUACUGCUGCUUCCACAUUUGUUAUGCAGAGAAGGCGUCAUGCACACUUGAAUUCAUACAAAGGGCAUUUUCGGCAUAAACCCAGACCGUGGACGGAAGGGCAAAAAAGGAAAUGUGGCGGUCAGCAAGAAAGUUCUUGCCUUGGUGCAGCGCAUUACUGAGUGUGAAUGGAAUGUCCAGCAUGGACUAGUUGACCACCCGCAGGGAUACUUUUUCGUCUGCCAAGCAGCCCAGAACCUUACAAUGCGAACUACAGAAAUGGUUCCCUUUCAC